GUGACAGGACGACUGGGGACAGCGACAGGGGCCCUGUGGGACUAGGGGCAACACCGAGAGCUGUGGCCCACAGAUGGGCGAAUUUGGAGGGGCUAACGCGGGCGGAAACCAUCCGUACCAGUCACCGCCGCCGCCUCCAGCCGUCCAGACCCUGAAUCUUCCCGUCUUCAAAAUGGCGGCGCGUCGGCAGGAGGGGCAGCGUCUACGCUGGCGGUGGCCAGACUGAAGGAGUUGCUGCCGAACACAUCGAUGGGAAGGAGCGUCGAAACACUGAUGCGCACGCGCACGGUAGGCCCCCGUAGAGCCGCCGUUCCAUUGGCUACGACGUGCGAGGAGAAAAGCUGAGGUGCAGCCUCCAUACCUUGAUAGCAGUUAUCUACCCAACAACUGGGCUGGGGAGCAGUCGUGUCUACAUUGCCUAAAUGAAGAAAUUGUGACUCAGAGAAGCUAAGUAAAAUGCCCAGUGCUGUACAACUUCAGGCAGUGAGAUUCACACUUGGAUUUGUGUGGCUCCAAAAUCUCAAUUCCUUCCGGGACAAUAAAACAAAGGAGAAGAAGAGAGAGCGAUGGUGCAUCUUGAUGGCCAGGUGAAAAUGGAGCACUGCUAAGCAAGCCCCAAGGAAAUGUACAACCCUCCACAGGAAGUUUUAUUAUCCGCUUCUGAGGAAAUGAAAUCCUCCUUGUGUGUUUCUUGUUGGAAGACUGGGCUAAGAUUCCUCCUGAGGUAGCCACAAAGAUCAGACGUAUCUUCUCCCAGAACUCCAGAAGCUGGCCUGAGGUACGUGAUCUAAAGUGAUUCCAAUCUCUGGCCUCUGGCAGGAAUU
Molecule: non-coding RNA, 824 nt
Organism: Vicugna pacos (alpaca)
Lineage: Eukaryota; Metazoa; Chordata; Mammalia; Artiodactyla; Camelidae
Source: RefSeq, a predicted model, not a curated record